RNAcentral lists this long non-coding RNA (3234 nucleotides) under Sorghum bicolor (sorghum). RNAcentral describes it as "long non-coding RNA (SBIC_LNC015564)". The record is from RNAcentral. Lineage: Eukaryota; Viridiplantae; Streptophyta; Magnoliopsida; Poales; Poaceae.
AGCUCGGACUUGAAGAAGCGCAACAACAUCGAGCUCAUGAAUACCUUUUGAAUCGCGUGGCCAACACUGACUCGAAGAAGCAACAUCAAUGGUCCCCUUGUUCAUCCAACGGAGCUCCAAAGCAAGCUGGCAAGGUAACAUAGAUCCAUCUCAAUUCGAUUCUUGGGCUGCACACUCCAACCUAAGAUAACACAGAUCCAUUUCAGUCCAUGUCUUAGGCUGCACGCUAAAGGACAAAUCUGAUAGGAGGAUUGUGUGGCUAGCCAAAUAAAAUAUAGAAGUUCUUGCUGGUUCACAACAUGUGAUCCCUACAGCCUUACUGUUGACUACGCAGUGGUGUUAGUCAUUUGUUUCGCGAUUUACAGAUGAACUGUGCAAUUAGUUUUUGUUUUCAUAUAUAUUUAAUGCACCAUACAUGUGCCGCAAGAUUCGAUGUGAUGGAGAAUCUUGAAAAUUUUUGAGAACUAAACAAGGCUAUGUAUGAGGAGUGAGGACUUACCCAUGAAAGUCACAAAUACUGGACUAAAGAGACACGUCCGUUCCAUGAGGCCACAAAACUUUGAAGGAAAAAACUCUACAUAACCCCUCAAACUAUUUAGAAUGGACUACUUUACCUCUCGAAUUAUAAAACUGGAUAUCCUACUCCCUGAAUUUUCAAACCCGGUCAAAUAACGUCAUCGAGUGGUUUAAUGGUGGUUUUGUCUUUUUUUAUUUAUUUCUAUUGAAUCUUUGAAAAACAUAAUAAAUCAUAGAAAAAUCAUAAAAUAAAAAGUUCUAUUUUGUUGGACUCCUGAAGAGUAGAUCUACAUAGCGAAUAUAUAAUAUGGUAUACUAUAGUACAAAGUUUAUGUUGUAGCUUUAAAUCUAUGUUUUCCUAUAAUUAAUUUGAAUAAUUCAUAUAUGUAGUUCCUAUGGUCCACUUGUGGUGCAACAUUUAUGGUGGACUCAUUAUUGUAUGCUUGAACUAUGGUAAAAAUUUCAUACUCAUUGGAUCAUGAAUCACUUAGUUAUAGAUAAAACAUAGAUUUAACAAGAAUAAAGCUAUAAAUCUAUAACUAAGUUAUACGUGAUCCAAUGGGUACAAAACUUUCACCAUAGAUCAAGAAUACAAUAAUGAGCCCACCAUAAAAAAUUUACCACAAUUGAACCAUAGAAACUACAUAUAUGAAUUAUUCGAAUUAAUUACAGAAAACAUAGAUUUAAAGCUACAUCAAAAACUUUGUCCAAAGUAUACUAUAUUAUAUAUUCACUAUAUAGAUCUACUUAUGAGGAGUCCAACAAAAUUAAUUUUUUUUAUUUUAUGAUUUUUCUAUGAUUUAUUAUGAUUUUUCAAAGAUUCAGCGGAAAUAAAUAAAAAAAAGACAAAACCAACCUCCAAAACCACUCGAGGGUUAUUUGACCGAUUUUGAAAGUUUAAGGGGUAGAACAUCUUGAUUUUUACUUCGGGGGGUGAAGUAGUCCACCCUAGAUAGUUUAGGGGGUUAUGUAGACUUUUUUGUACAUAUGGGUGUCCAAAUCAAACCCUCUUUUGGGGAUUUUGACUACUCAAGCUAGGGGAGAAGAGGUUCGAUGCCUAGGGUGGUUCGAAGCCAUUUUUCCCUGGAAGAUUCGAAUGCCGCCUCCCUUGUCUGCCUCUCCCAGUAAGUGCUAGUUGGAGGUAAUAAAUUAAAGGAAAUAUGAAUAAUACGCCACAUAAAUUUGGCAAAAUGACAGUCAAAGAACAGAUGUUGUAUGGAUUCUUUAGAAGAACAAAAACAACAUUUCUUAUGUUCUUGUUGCCACUGUUGCCUUAGUAAGUUACCCUUUGUCAAAAUUACUCCCUUAAACAAGUACCACAAGAAAACUUUGAUUUGAGAGGUCAUUUUAGUUUCCAAAUAAAUGUGGUAAUAGGUAUAACUUAUGCUGUCAAUAAUGCUCUGUACAUGGAUUUAACUAAGAAUAAUCCAUUCUAGUGUAGCCCCCAUACAAAACGAUCCCUUUGGUUUGUUAGUUGUACACUAGCAACCAUAGCUACGAUAUCGUGCCAAGCUUGUAAAUUAACUCCUACUAGAGAUCUCUUGAAAGCUACAUUUAAUGGUACUGUGGAUAGUACCAUUCUUACAUAAGCACCUUUUUUUCCUAACAAUGCUAUAAAGUGCAGGAAAGAUGGAUCUUAGUGGUGACAGUGUUAUCCACGAAUCCUCCCAAAAUUGCACCUGUGACUCGUCACCCAAAUCAAACUUGCCUAGCGAGAGAAACUCCCCCUUGACAUUCAUGAGGCCAGCCCAAAACUAAGAGUCUCCAGACAUGUAUUGAACCUGAGUCAAAGUUUUGUGUCUCAAAUAUUUAUUCCUAAGAAUCUCUUGCCAAACCCCAUCUCUAUUAAACAACUUAAAAAGCCAUUUACUUACGAGACACUUGUUGUGGACCUCUAAAUUAACACUCCCAACCCUCCUUGGUCUUUUGGAGUGCAAACUACCUCCCACUUAGUUAACCUAUAUUUUUUUUCUUAUAGUCAUCACUCUGCCAGAAAAAUCAUGAUCUGAAGUAAUCCAAUUUCUUUAGAACCCCUCUAGGUACUUCAAAGAACAAAAACAUGAACAUGGGGAGACUACUCAAAACUGAGUUAAUCAAAACCAGCCUCCCUUCUACCAACAACAAUUUACUUCUCUAACAAUUCAGCCUUUUUUGAAAUCUUUCUUCAACAAGUUUCUGGUCUUUAUCAUGAGUGUUCUAUGAUGCAUGGAUAUUCCUGGAUAUCGAAAAGGAUAUGACCCCAAAUCACAUCAAAAAAUAAGUGUAUACCCCAAAGCACAAAGCAAAAGCUUCAUGUUUUUGGCUGCAUGGAUACCAGAUUUGUGGAAGGAGAGAAACAAGAUUAUCAAGGAUGCUAUCAAGAAGAACAUCUCAACAUGGGUGUUUGGGUAUAAGAGUGACAAGAUCACUUGAGACAUGGAGGCCACAAUUCCUUUCCUUCUCGCUCUUAAGGUGAGUGACACUGGUACAACCGACCUUUCUACUGGCGCCACCUUUUUUCUACUAGCGAUUUGAAACGAACAUGUGCUAGUAGAAAGAAAAUAAUGGGCCCUUGACUCAAACCACCUGUGCAAAUAUAUAUUUACACAGGCUGUUUGUGUAAGUUAACCGCCUAUAGAAAUGUAAAGUUUGUUCUGAUGGUUUUCUUUGCACAUCCGCCUGCAUAAAUGUAUUUACACUAGCAGUUUUGAUUGGGCAGCCAUUUGUAUAAAUGGACAU